UACAGAGGGUGCAAGCGUUGUUCGGAAUUAUUGGGCGUAAAGGGCGCGUAGGCGGUGCGGUAAGUCUGUAGUGAAAUCUCUGGGCUCAACUCAGAGUCUGCUAUAGAAACUGCCGGGCUGGAGUAUGGGAGAGGAUGGUGGAAUUCCCAGUGUAGAGGUGAAAUUCGUAGAUAUUGGGAAGAACACCGGUGGCGAAGGCGGCCAUCUGGACCGUUUCUGACGCUGAGGCGCGAAAGCGUGGGGAGCAAACAGG
This 253-nucleotide ribosomal RNA is filed under the name uncultured prokaryote. RNAcentral's name for it is "partial 16S ribosomal RNA". It matches the Rfam family "Bacterial small subunit ribosomal RNA", at positions 524 to 776 of the family's 1533-position model. The record is from RNAcentral.